UUAAUUCUAGGUUUGAUUCAGACACAGGCGGCUGGGUUGCAUAAAUACGACGCCACAAGGGCAUCGAAGCACGGAUUGCUUCCACGGUUUUUGAGGGUCGAAGGCCCGAAAAGGGCCAUUCGCUAAUGAUCCCUCCGCAGGUUCACCUACGGAGA
This 155-nucleotide unclassified non-coding RNA is filed under the name uncultured fungus. Its description in RNAcentral is "sequence contains ITS1". The record is from RNAcentral. Lineage: Eukaryota; Fungi.